RNAcentral lists this ribosomal RNA (447 nucleotides) under uncultured bacterium. RNAcentral's name for it is "bacterial SSU rRNA". It matches the Rfam family "Bacterial small subunit ribosomal RNA", at positions 97 to 520 of the family's 1533-position model. The record is from RNAcentral.
GGCGCACGGGUGAGUAACACGUGGGUAAUGUUCCCUCAGGCGGGGGAUAACCUUCCGAAAGGAGGGCUAAUACCGCAUAUGACCACGGCUUCGCGAGAGGCCGCGGUAAAAGCAGGCCUCUAUACAUAAGCUUGCACCUGAGGAUCAGCCCGCGGCCCAUCAUGGUAGUUGGUAGGGUAAUGGCCUACCAAGCCUAAGACGGGUAGCUGGUCUGAGAGGACGACCAGCCACACCGGAACUGAGACACGGUCCGGACUCCUACGGGAGGCAGCAGUGGGGAAUAUUGGACAAUGGGGGAAACCCUGAUCCAGCGACGCCGCGUGUGUGAAGAAGGCCUGCGGGUUGUAAAGCACUUUUAGUGGGGACAAAAAGCCACGGACUAAUACUCUGUGGUCUUGAUUUAACCCACAGAAAAAGCACCGGCUAACUCUGUGCCAGCAGCCGCGG